Molecule: long non-coding RNA, 1110 nt
Filed under: Carica papaya (papaya)
Lineage: Eukaryota; Viridiplantae; Streptophyta; Magnoliopsida; Brassicales; Caricaceae
Description: long non-coding RNA (CPAP_LNC013422)
Source: RNAcentral
CCAAGUUACCUGAACAAAGAUUGUAAAUGGAAAUAAUUUUGUGCAAUUAGACAAAUAGUAAAUAACCAUGAAGGAGGUGCUUUUUCAGCAGCCACAAGAGCUAAAAGCGCUAUUCCUAUCAUCUAUGUUAUUAUGUUUUAACUUAUACAAUAAUAAAUUAUAUGGAGGUUCUUUAGGUUUGAGCAUCAUUAACAACUUAGUCUAUUAUUUAUAGAAAAAUAAUAGUCCAGUUUCUUAACAGUCAUUAAAUGUUAGUUAAACAUGUGUCACGUAUUUUCCUCCAAAAAUAAGUGUGUGAGCAUGUGCAUCAUGUAUGUGUCACAUGUCUGUCACUACGAAAUGAUAAAAGAUAGCAACAUGACAAAUAAUUUCUAGAUUAUAACAUGACUAAUAAUUCUAGUUUACUCACAAGGAAAAACAGUUUUAGUUGAAAAAAUACAAAAAGGUAGAAGUUUUAGUUUGUAUAGUAAAGAAGAAACAACAAUGUGAUUGUAAGAACCGAAAAAGUGAAAAUAAAUAUCUAGUGUAAAUAGAUAAUCUAAAAUGUAUUUUAGUAAAUAGGGUGACUAGAUUAUUAUGGUUUAAAACCACACACCAACUUGCAAAUAAAAUCUAAGAUCCUCAUAUAUGUUACUCUUGAGAUAACUGCAUUUAUAAUGUAAUUGUUGGACAACUCAAUUCAUCAAAACUUUAUCUAAUCCGCUACUGAACUAACUCAAUAUUCUAUAGAAGUGAUUUUUUUCCACAAUGUUAUAUGCAAGCCUAAUCUCCAUAUGCAAGCUCAACGGCGCCAACAUCCUUCUGUUUAAAUGCAUAUGACAACUUCUUCAUAUUUUUAGGUGGAGUAUGUUAUCUUUGAGAUUCUAAAAAAAAUCUCCUGCUAAAAGUUCAGAAUUGCAUAACAAGCAAAUAUAGAACUUUACACCAAGUUUUUUCUUAAUUUUUAAGAGAAAGGAGGUGUCUAGUUGGUUUUCUCACACAACCAGGGGGACAUUGUUCAUGUGAAAAAGCUUAACAUACAAGCACAGUUUUAUCCUGUCAUGAGGAAAAAAUUUUGUUGCUUGAAUAAAGAGCCAGAUAUUUCAAAGCAAAGUGUAAUCUGCAUGUGCA